UGCAUUGGCUGGGAAUCGAACCCGGGGCGCCCGCGUGGCAGGUGAGCAUUCUACCACUGAACCACCGAUGC
RNAcentral lists this transfer RNA (71 nucleotides) under Cordylochernes scorpioides. Its description in RNAcentral is "tRNA-Gly". Lineage: Eukaryota; Metazoa; Arthropoda; Arachnida; Pseudoscorpiones; Chernetidae. The record is from RNAcentral.